Molecule: non-coding RNA, 29 nt
Filed under: Homo sapiens (human)
Lineage: Eukaryota; Metazoa; Chordata; Mammalia; Primates; Hominidae
Source: RNAcentral
UACAGAUUGUAUUGGUCGAGGCUGAUUGA